RNAcentral lists this long non-coding RNA (1052 nucleotides) under Triticum aestivum (bread wheat). RNAcentral describes it as "long non-coding RNA (TAES_LNC023509)". The record is from RNAcentral. Lineage: Eukaryota; Viridiplantae; Streptophyta; Magnoliopsida; Poales; Poaceae.
GGCGAGUUCUCGACGGCCUUGCGGCUCUCGCCGGUGAUGUAGUAGAUGUCCUUCUGGCCCUCCUUCAUCCGGGUGACGUAGUCCUUGAGGCUGGUGAGGUCGUCGCCGCUCUUGGUGGAGUGGUAGCGGAGGAGGUCGGCGAGCUUGGCGCGGUUCUGCGAGUCCUCGUGCACGCCCAGCUUGAGGUUCUUGGAGAAGGCCUCGUAGAACUUGGCGUAGUCCUCUUUAUUCUCGGCGAUCUCGAAGAAGAGCUCGAUGCACUUCUUGACGAGGUUCUUGCGGAUGACCUUGAGGAUCUUGUUCUGCUGCAGCGUCUCCCGGGAGAUGUUGAGGGGGAGGUCGUCCGAGUCGACGACGCCCUUGACGAAGCCCAGCCACUCCGGGAUGAGCUCCUCGCAGUUGUCCAUGAUGAAGACGCGGCGCACGUAGAGCUUGAUGUUGUUCAUCUUCUUGCGGGUGUCGAAGAGGUCGAAGGGCGCGCGGCGGGGCACGAAGAGCACCGCCUUGAACUCCAGCUGCCCCUCCACCGAGAAGUGCUUCACGGCCAGGUGAUCCUCCCAGUCGUUGGUGAUGCUCUUGUAGAAGGACGCGUACUCCUCCUUGCUGAUCUCCUCCGGCUUGCGCAGCCAGAUGGGCUUCUGCUUGUUGAUCUGCGCCCACUCGUGGCUCACCUCCUUCACCUUCUUCUUCUUCUUCUUGCUCUCGUCCUUGUUCUCGGAGUCGUCGUCGACCUCCUCCACCUCGCCCUCCUUCUUCUCAUCCGACUCUUCAUCUUCGUCGUCGCUGAUCUCCUUCUCGGUGGUCUUCUCGGUCCAGAGGUAGAUGGGGUAGCUGAUGAACUCCGAGUGCUUCUUGACGAGGUCCUUGAGGCGGCGCUCCUCCAGGUACUCGAGCUGGUCGUCCUUGAGGAAGAGCGUGAUCUUGGUGCCGCGCCCGAGCCGCUCGCCCUCCGUGUCGAGGGUGACGGUGAAGGAGCCGCCGGCCUGCGACUCCCACACGUACUGCUCGUCGUCGUUGUGCUUGGUGGUGACCACCACCUUGUCGGCGACGAG